CGCCACUUCCUUCGCCGCGGUGGAGCGGAACUCUCGAGAGGGGGUCGGAGGGCUAGUUGAACCGCAUCUAUAGGUGGUCAACAGUCACAAUUAUAGGUGGUCUAAGAGCAACUUCAAUAGUUCUCUAAAUAACUCUCUAAAUCUUAAAUUUAAGAAGUGAACAGAAAAAUACUUCUCCAAUGGUUCUCUAAAUAGACUUGCUAAAUUUAGUUAGUUGCUAUUCAACUCUAUUUACUCUCCACAUUUAGCAACUCGGUAGGAACUCCCUAAAUACAGUUGACGUCAAUUUCUUCACACUAGCGUGAUUAUUUUUACCUUUCCUAUACAGUGAGAUAGCCAGUUAUAACACACUCUUUUUUAUUUUCUAGCAUAAUGAGGUAGCUAGGUCAAACACGUAUGACGCAAGUUUCUCCUUCACCGUCGAACCUAACUUUCUCAUAAGUUGCGUCACCGGACCACCACUCAUCCAUAAUUCAUAUCGACCGACCUUUUUUCUUCCGCCCUCAUAUCCUCUGCUCUCAACCUUAUUAUCAGGCAGAUCUCAUAGGGACAGGGCCGCUAAAGCUAGAUUCAAAAUCGAACUACUUCCUAAAUAUGAGCAACUAUUGGAAACUAAGUUAUUUUUUACUUCCAAUAGCUAUUUAGCAACUUGCUAAACAUGAUUUUAGCAAGCUAUUUUUUAGAGAACUACUGGAGUUGCUCUAACAGUCACAAUUGUAGAGACGUGGAAAACCCAAAAAGCAGAGUAAACUAGCCGGUUAGUGGACAAGCAAAUGGACGUAGACCAAACAAGAAGAAAAUUCGCUUAUGCCUUUCAAGCACUCCACUACAUACUAGU
Molecule: long non-coding RNA, 838 nt
Filed under: Zea mays
Lineage: Eukaryota; Viridiplantae; Streptophyta; Magnoliopsida; Poales; Poaceae
Description: long non-coding RNA (ZMAY_LNC003118)
Source: RNAcentral